Molecule: ribosomal RNA, 1478 nt
Filed under: Klebsiella pneumoniae
Lineage: Bacteria; Pseudomonadati; Pseudomonadota; Gammaproteobacteria; Enterobacterales; Enterobacteriaceae
Description: bacterial SSU rRNA
Rfam family: Bacterial small subunit ribosomal RNA
Source: RNAcentral
CAAGUCGAGCGGUAGCACAGAGAGCUUGCUCUCGGGUGACGAGCGGCGGACGGGUGAGUAAUGUCUGGGAAACUGCCUGAUGGAGGGGGAUAACUACUGGAAACGGUAGCUAAUACCGCAUAACGUCGCAAGACCAAAGUGGGGGACCUUCGGGCCUCAUGCCAUCAGAUGUGCCCAGAUGGGAUUAGCUAGUAGGUGGGGUAAUGGCUCACCUAGGCGACGAUCCCUAGCUGGUCUGAGAGGAUGACCAGCCACACUGGAACUGAGACACGGUCCAGACUCCUACGGGAGGCAGCAGUGGGGAAUAUUGCACAAUGGGCGCAAGCCUGAUGCAGCCAUGCCGCGUGUGUGAAGAAGGCCUUCGGGUUGUAAAGCACUUUCAGCGGGGAGGAAGGCGAUAAGGUUAAUAACCUUGUCGAUUGACGUUACCCGCAGAAGAAGCACCGGCUAACUCCGUGCCAGCAGCCGCGGUAAUACGGAGGGUGCAAGCGUUAAUCGGAAUUACUGGGCGUAAAGCGCACGCAGGCGGUCUGUCAAGUCGGAUGUGAAAUCCCCGGGCUNAACCUGGGAACUGCAUUCGAAACUGGCAGGCUAGAGUCUUGUAGAGGGGGGUAGAAUUCCAGGUGUAGCGGUGAAAUGCGUAGAGAUCUGGAGGAAUACCGGUGGCGAAGGCGGCCCCCUGGACAAAGACUGACGCUCAGGUGCGAAAGCGUGGGGAGCAAACAGGAUUAGAUACCCUGGUAGUCCACGCCGUAAACGAUGUCGAUUUGGAGGUUGUGCCCUUGAGGCGUGGCUUCCGGAGCUAACGCGUUAAAUCGACCGCCUGGGGAGUACGGCCGCAAGGUUAAAACUCAAAUGAAUUGACGGGGGCCCGCACAAGCGGUGGAGCAUGUGGUUUAAUUCGAUGCAACGCGAAGAACCUUACCUGGUCUUGACAUCCACAGAACUUUCCAGAGAUGGAUUGGUGCCUUCGGGAACUGUGAGACAGGUGCUGCAUGGCUGUCGUCAGCUCGUGUUGUGAAAUGUUGGGUUAAGUCCCGCAACGAGCGCAACCCUUAUCCUUUGUUGCCAGCGGUCCGGCCGGGAACUCAAAGGAGACUGCCAGUGAUAAACUGGAGGAAGGUGGGGAUGACGUCAAGUCAUCAUGGCCCUUACGACCAGGGCUACACACGUGCUACAAUGGCAUAUACAAAGAGAAGCGACCUCGCGAGAGCAAGCGGACCUCAUAAAGUAUGUCGUAGUCCGGAUUGGAGUCUGCAACUCGACUCCAUGAAGUCGGAAUCGCUAGUAAUCGUAGAUCAGAAUGCUACGGUGAAUACGUUCCCGGGCCUUGUACACACCGCCCGUCACACCAUGGGAGUGGGUUGCAAAAGAAGUAGGUAGCUUAACCUUCGGGAGGGCGCUUACCACUUUGUGAUUCAUGACUGGGGUGAAGUCGUAACAAGGUAACCGUAGGGGAACCUGCGGUUGGAUCACCU